GUAAAAUUCUCCAUUUUUUAAAUUCUUCGUUGUAAACUGUUGCUAAACACUUCUGAAUUUUAAAUUGCUACAGAGAAGGUCCAUAAACCGUUCUCGUUCAAUUUAGUCACUUUUAUUACAUUCCUCUUUGCCUCCCCCAAUCACUACUUCGGCUCCCAGUUUCAGCGUGGCCGCAUUUCGGAAACGCUGAAGGUAGAAAACUCUGGAAUGGAGAGAUUGGUGACCGGAGCAGGAUCCAGGGCCUUUAAAGUUUAACCUGAGUUCGAUCGAAUGCAACUACCGGAGUAACGUUGGCCGGCCGCUCAAUUCCCACCAUGGCUUCAGAUGUCUUGCACUCGGUUCUUUGCUGAGUUCCGACCAAAUGGACUGGGUUUUGCAGAGUUCUUUUGUGAGCGGUUAUUUUAAUGUUCUGGACAUUUAUUUUCCUUUGAGUCCAAUUGUUUUUGAAAUGUUUCUCAGAUUUACUAUUAAAAGUAAAUUUUUUUAAAGUCCAUGCUUGCUAAAAAAAAAUAAAUGCUUUGGUUAGGUUUGCAUCCAUGCUGUGAAUGGCCUCCAAGCUGAGCCCUGGAGGAGAUCAAGCCCUGGCACGAGCUUGAUUCCUACCUAUCCUCUAUGAUUCUUUAUAUUUGCAAAUAUGAUGAUAUCGGUGUGGAUUUCCUGGGAGAUAGCUAACCCCCACUGUCCUGCCUUUCUUGCAGCUCCCCUGCAGCAUUAGGAGGGCGCACUGACCUCGGCGCCCAUGCGACAGAGGUGAGCUGCUGGACGGAUAUUGACCAAUUCAACAAUGUUCGGGCUGCUGUAAGGGUUCGAGAGAGAACCCAGCAUUUUAACCUUAAUAUUCCCCAUCACUUAAGAAUGCCCAAACCAAAGGGAAAAAUAAGUAAUUGUUCCUUUUCAGGCCACAAGUUAUACCUUUUUAUAAUAAACAUUGGUUUUCCAAUCAAACGAGGGAAUGGAUAAAGAAAUGCUUUCCAUAUAAGUUAUUUUUAAAAUAAAACAAAACUAUUAAACCUGAACAGUCGAUUAAGACAGAAAACCAGGUUGUCUGGCCGCCCCAAUUUGCCUUUUUCCGAGGCAAAGACUUUGGCGCUGGGGACAAACAACCACCGACAGAGGCGGGUUUUCAGAGCCAGCCCCCAUGGGCUCCAGGCCCCGGGCACUGAGAUUCCUCUAAUCCGGUCUGAAAUGUCAGCAGAAUCCGGGGUGCAGAGGAAAGAGGCACACCCCAAACUAAGGAGGAACCCAAGAGCUGUAUAAAACCCAAUAGUGCCCACAUAAACAGAUAAUUCUCUUAAGAAUUUCUUUUUUCUUCUUGUUUUU
RNAcentral lists this long non-coding RNA (1320 nucleotides) under Marmota monax (woodchuck). Lineage: Eukaryota; Metazoa; Chordata; Mammalia; Rodentia; Sciuridae. The record is from RNAcentral.